CUGCUACCUCUUACCCAUGUCUUUUGAGUACCUUCGUUUCCUCGGCGGGUCCGCCCGCCGAUUGGACAACAUUCAAACCCUUUGCAGUUGCAAUCAGCGUCUGAAAAAACAUAAUAGUUACAACUUUCAACAACGGAUCUCUUGGUUCUGGCAUCGAUGAAGAACGCAGCGAAAUGCGAUAAGUAGUGUGAAUUGCAGAAUUCAGUGAAUCAUCGAAUCUUUGAACGCACAUUGCGCCCCUUGGUAUUCCAUGGGGCAUGCCUGUUCGAGCGUCAUUUGUACCUUCAAGCUCUGCUUGGUGUUGGGUGUUUGUCUCGCCUCUGCGUGUAGACUCGCCUUAAAACAAUUGGCAGCCGGCGUAUUGAUUUCGGAGCGCAGUACAUCUCGCGCUUUGCACUCAUAACGACGACGUCCAAAAGUACAUUUUUACACUCUUGACCUCGGAUCAGGUAGGGAUACCCGCUGAACUUAAGCAUAU
Molecule: ribosomal RNA, 478 nt
Filed under: Epicoccum nigrum
Lineage: Eukaryota; Fungi; Ascomycota; Dothideomycetes; Pleosporales; Didymellaceae
Description: eukaryotic LSU rRNA
Rfam family: 5.8S ribosomal RNA (bases 122-275)
Source: RNAcentral